This 201-nucleotide ribosomal RNA is filed under the name Chloropicon mariensis. RNAcentral describes it as "partial Bacterial large subunit ribosomal RNA". It matches the Rfam family "Bacterial large subunit ribosomal RNA", at positions 1132 to 1338 of the family's 2925-position model. Lineage: Eukaryota; Viridiplantae; Chlorophyta; Chloropicophyceae; Chloropicales; Chloropicaceae. The record is from RNAcentral.
GCGUAACAGCUCACUAGUCGAGCGAUCGGGCAUGGAUAAUAAACGGGCAUUAAACUGUACACCGAAGCUAUGGGUAAUAUUAAUAUUACGGUAGGGGAGCAUUCCAGCGGCAGCGAAGUUAUGACGUAAGUUGUGGUGGAGCUUCUGGAAAAGCAAAUGUAGGCAUAAGUAGCGAUAAAAGUAGUGAAAAACUACUUCACC